Molecule: ribosomal RNA, 484 nt
Filed under: uncultured bacterium
Lineage: Bacteria
Description: partial 16S ribosomal RNA
Rfam family: Bacterial small subunit ribosomal RNA
Source: RNAcentral
AUUGAACGCUGGCGGCAGGCCUAACACAUGCAAGUCGAGCGGAUGAAGGGAGCUUGCUCCUGGAUUCAGCGGCGGACGGGUGAGUAAUGCCUAGGAAUCUGCCUGGUAGUGGGGGAUAACGUCCGGAAACGGGCGCUAAUACCGCAUGCGUCCUGAGGGAGAAAGUGGGGGAUCUUCGGACCUCACGCUAUCAGAUGAGCCUAGGUCGGAUUAGCUAGUUGGUGGGGUAAAGGCCUACCAAGGCGACGAUCCGUAACUGGUCUGAGAGGAUGAUCAGUCAAACUGGAACUGAGACACGGUCCAGACUCCUACGGGAGGCAGCAGUGGGGAAUAUUGGAAAAUGGGCGAAAGCCUGAUCCAGCCAUGCCGCGUGUGUGAAGAAGGUCUUCGGAUUGUAAAGCACUUUAAGUUGGGAGGAAGGGAAGUAAGUUAAUACCUUGCUGUUUUGACGUUACCAACAGAAUAAGCACCGGCUAACUUCGUG